Catharus ustulatus (Swainson's thrush) is the source of this 174-nucleotide long non-coding RNA. RefSeq lists it as uncharacterized. The transcript is spliced from 3 exons. NCBI's taxonomy places the organism in Eukaryota, Metazoa, Chordata, Aves, Passeriformes, Turdidae. The record is from RefSeq and is a predicted model, not a curated record.
UCCCAAAUACAGAAACUGCAAGAACGUGAUUACUUCAGAUAUUACAAGGUCAACCUGAAGAGACCGUGCCCAUUUUGGGCUGAUGACGGCCAUUGUUCUAUCAAAGAUUGUCAUGUAGAGCCUUGUCCUGAGAGCAAAAUACCUGUCGGAAUUAAGGCUGGGAGCUCUAAUAAA